RNAcentral lists this ribosomal RNA (253 nucleotides) under uncultured bacterium. RNAcentral's name for it is "partial 16S ribosomal RNA". It matches the Rfam family "Bacterial small subunit ribosomal RNA", at positions 524 to 776 of the family's 1533-position model. The record is from RNAcentral.
GACGAACCGUCCGAACGUUAUUCGGAAUCACUGGGCUUAAAGGGUGCGUAGGCGGCGCGGAAAGUUGGGUGUGAAAUCCCUCGGCUUAACCGAGGAACGGCACCCAAAACUACCGUGCUCGAGGGAGAUAGAGGUGAGCGGAACUUAGGGUGGAGCGGUGAAAUGCGUUGAUAUCCUAAGGAACACCGGUGGCGAAAGCGGCUCACUGGAUCUCUUCUGACGCUGAUGCACGAAAGCUAGGGUAGCGAACGGG